RNAcentral lists this ribosomal RNA (492 nucleotides) under uncultured bacterium. Its description in RNAcentral is "partial 16S ribosomal RNA". It matches the Rfam family "Bacterial small subunit ribosomal RNA", at positions 29 to 507 of the family's 1533-position model. The record is from RNAcentral.
AGUGAACGCUGGCGGUAGGCCUAACACAUGCAAGUCGAACGGCAGCACAGUAAGAGCUUGCUCUUACGGGUGGCGAGUGGCGGACGGGUGAGGAAUACAUCGGAAUCUACUUUUUCGUGGGGGAUAACGUAGGGAAACUUACGCUAAUACCGCAUACGACCUACGGGUGAAAGCAGGGGAUCUUCGGACCUUGCGCGAUUGAAUGAGCCGAUGUCGGAUUAGCUAGUUGGCGGGGUAAAGGCCCACCAAGGCGACGAUCCGUAGCUGGUCUGAGAGGAUGGUCACCCACACUGGAAGUGAGACACGGUCGAGACACCUACGGGGGGAAGCAGUGGGGAAUCUUGGGCAAUGGGGGCAAGCCUGAUCCAGCCAUACCGGGUGGGGGAAGAAGGCCUUCGGGUGGGAAAGCCCUUUUGUUGGGAAGGAAAAGCAGCAGGUUAAUACCCCGCUGUUCUGACGGUACCCAAAGAAUAAGCACCGGCUAACUUCGUG